CAAUAGCGUAUAUUAAAGUUGUUGCAGUUAAAAAGCUCGUAGUUGGAUUUCUGGUGGGAGCGAUCGGUCUGGCGCUUAGCGCGAGUACUUGCAUCGUCUCCGGCCACCCUUGGGGAGAGUCUGUCUGGCAUUAGGUUGUCGGGCAGAGGAUCCUCAUCGUUUACUGUGAAAAAAUUAGAGUGUUCAAAGCAGGCUUAUGCCGUUGAAUAUAUUAGCAUGGAAUAAUAAGAUAGGACUUUGGUACUAUUUUGUUGGUUUGCGCACCAAAGUAAUGAUUAAUAGGGACAGUUGGGGGUAUUCGUAUUCCGUUGUCAGAGGUGAAAUUCUUGGAUUUACGGAAGACGAACUACUGCGAAGGCAUGUACCAAGGAUGUUUUCAUUAA
RNAcentral lists this ribosomal RNA (383 nucleotides) under uncultured eukaryote. RNAcentral describes it as "partial 18S ribosomal RNA". It matches the Rfam family "Eukaryotic small subunit ribosomal RNA", at positions 592 to 976 of the family's 1831-position model. The record is from RNAcentral.